UUUUCUUUCUGGACUAGGCAUACGCUAGCUUGGAGAUCUACACACGUGGAAGGCUGAGGUUAUUUCACCGUGCCUCUUAAAGGUUUAGGUGUAGGAUUCAAUUUGCAACUGCAGAAUUUCUACGAUUCAAGCUUCUGAGGUAUGGCAUGCACAUCUGCUAUUAUCGAAAAGGU
Long non-coding RNA from Lolium rigidum, 173 nucleotides. RefSeq lists it as uncharacterized. NCBI's taxonomy places the organism in Eukaryota, Viridiplantae, Streptophyta, Magnoliopsida, Poales, Poaceae. The transcript has 3 exons. The record is from RefSeq and is a predicted model, not a curated record.